Molecule: ribosomal RNA, 375 nt
Filed under: uncultured Glomeromycotina
Lineage: Eukaryota; Fungi; Glomeromycota
Description: LSU rRNA
Source: RNAcentral
UUGAAAGGGAAACGAUUGAAGUCAGUCGUACCAGCGGGAAAUCAACCUUUCGAGUGGGGGUUUUGGAGUUUUGAAGAGUGUCAAAACCUUUGAGAUUUCAAAAUAUUCGCUCUUUUGGUGUACUUUCUCGUGGGUAGGUUAACAUCGAUUUUGAUCAUCAUAAAAAGAUUGGAGGAAUGUAGCUUCGAUCUUGUAUUGAAGUGUUAUAGCCUUUGGUAAAUGUGAUGAUUAGGAUCGAGGAUUGCAACGAAUACCCUUUUGGGCUAUCCGCCUGAUCUCUGAUACGUGGCCUUGGUAUCGAAAGCUUGCUUAUGGUAUUAAGGCAUUACGGUCAAAAGGUUAGAACGGAUUACAUUCGUUAAGGAUGUUGACGUA